This 438-nucleotide ribosomal RNA is filed under the name uncultured bacterium. Its description in RNAcentral is "bacterial SSU rRNA". It matches the Rfam family "Bacterial small subunit ribosomal RNA", at positions 355 to 785 of the family's 1533-position model. The record is from RNAcentral.
UGAGGAAUAUUGGUCAAUGGUCGCUAGACUGAACCAGCCAAGUAGCGUGCGGGAUGAAGGCCCUCCGGGUACGUAAUCGCGUUUAGAAGCGGGGAUAAAAGGGCGUACGUGUACGCCGUAUUGCAUGUACCGUCAGAAAAAGGACCGGCUAAUUCCGUGCCAGCAGCCGCGGUAAUACGGAAGGUCCGGGCGUUAUCCGGAUUUAUUGGGUUUAAAGGGAGCGUAGGCGGACUUUCAAGUCAGUGGUAAAAUCGUGUGGCUCAACCAUACCUCGCCAUUGAAAACUGGAAGUCUGGAGUGCACACAGGGGUGCCGGAAUUCAUGGUGUAGCGGUGAAAUGCUUAGAUAUCAUGAAGAACUCCGAUCGCGAAGGCAAGUGCCCGGGGUGCAACUGACGCUGAGGCUCGAAAGGUGCGGGUAUCGAACAGGAUUAGAACC